CGGGCCUCCCGGCUGCUCGGCUCGGGGCUGCGGUAUCCGGCCCCGACGCGAUCGCCUGCCGCCCUCGCUCCUACCUAGCAGCUUCUUCUGGAUGUUGCCCAUGGCGCUCGUGGCCGCUGUGGGGAGAGCACCAGGGAGAGACAAUCCUUGCUCCCACUGUUAGGAGUCCCAAGAGGACCAAGCUACACAACCACAGAAUAUGUGCAGAGGGUUCAGAUAAGAACCAUAUAGGCUCUCGGGUUGUCAGUUCUGUCUCUGUGAGUCCCGUGAGCCCAGCUUAGCUGGUUCUGUCACGGCCAUGCUUCCUGGACUCAGAAGGCAGAGACAGGCAGAUCUCUGAAUUCCAGGCCAGCCUGGCCUACAAAGAGAAACCCUGUCUUCAAAAGACAAAAGACAAAGACGUAACCUCUUAGCUGUUGCUCCUGAACUACGCCUGCCUGACUGUUAUCAUGCUCCCCACCAUGAUGGUCAUGGACCAACCCUCUGGAACUACUGUUCCAGUCUAUACAGCUGCUGUUGAUGUAAUGAUGAGACCUGGGUGUGGUGGCUGUGGCAGAGACCUACAUCCCAGCGUUCAGGGCGGUAAAGCAGGGCCAGCCGGUCUCAGAAAAUAAACUCUGCUAAAAUUAUCCAAAAGUGAACUUCGCAUGUGGAACCACGGUGGAGCCCCGGUGAGCACAUGGCCGGGGCCGGAAACUGAGUACUUUGGUGAUUUGUGCCAGAUUUCUUUUGUUUCAAUUUAUAAUUUAAUCAUCAUUUAACACUAACAGUGUACCUGUCUAGUCCUUUGGUCCAUUAUAGGAGGUUAUUUUGUGUAGUCAGACGGUGUCUUGAGAAAAAAAAUAGGCUUAACAAUUCUGAAAUGUGAGAAAUGGCGUAUCAGAUGUAUUUUAAUAUGUUAUCACAGCAAACAAGCAGAAAUUAAGCAAAGUUCUCUUGUUCUAUAACUCAGUUUUAGCCUUAGAAUGAGCCAUGAAAACCUAAAGGAUAAACCAUUUUUUAAAAUCUUUAACCAAACUUCAUUAUUAUUCAGGUCUCUAAACUCCCACGAAGCAGCAGUCAUGAGAGAAGACUGAUGUUUGUAAUGUUUAAUUUUAGAAUAUUUGAGUUAUCGGGGAGUUGUGAGGUUAGUGCAGAUCUCCUCUGACCCCCCAUGAAGCCUCCUACAACGUGACCGUCUUACCAUCUCUUGAUUGGCUACCAUAGUCAAAGAAUAAAGGACUUGAUUCCAAAUCAGAUUGAUUAAAAAUGACGUGCCCAAGGUCGUGGCUCACAUACAGAAUCCCGAGACUGCCCGAACCAUGGGAG
Molecule: long non-coding RNA, 1308 nt
Organism: Alexandromys fortis (reed vole)
Lineage: Eukaryota; Metazoa; Chordata; Mammalia; Rodentia; Cricetidae
Exons: 4
Source: RefSeq, a predicted model, not a curated record